This 590-nucleotide ribosomal RNA is filed under the name uncultured Burkholderia sp. RNAcentral's name for it is "bacterial SSU rRNA". It matches the Rfam family "Bacterial small subunit ribosomal RNA", at positions 418 to 1002 of the family's 1533-position model. The record is from RNAcentral. Lineage: Bacteria; Pseudomonadati; Pseudomonadota; Betaproteobacteria; Burkholderiales; Burkholderiaceae.
UCGGGUUGUAAAGCACUUUUGUCCGGAAAGAAAACUUCUGCCCUAAUACGGCGGGAGGAUGACGGUACCGGAAGAAUAAGCACCGGCUAACUACGUGCCAGCAGCGCGGUAAUCGUAGGGUGCGAGCGUUAAUCGGAAUUACUGGGCGUAAAGCGUGCGCAGGCGGUUCGUUAAGACAGAUGUGAAAUCCCCGGGCUUAACCUGGGAACUGCAUUUGUGACUGGCGUGCUAGAGUAUGGCAGAGGGGGGUAGAAUUCCACGUGUAGCGGUGAAAUGCGUAGAGAUGUGGAGGAAUACCGAUGGCGAAGGCAGCCCCCUGGGCCAAUACUGACGCUCAUGCACGAAAGCGUGGGGAGCAAACAGGAUUAGAUACCCUGGUAGUCCACGCCCUAAACGAUGUCAACUAGUUGUUGGGUCUUCAUUGACUUAGUAACGUAGCUAACGCGUGAAGUUGACCGCCUGGGGAGUACGGUCGCAAGAUUAAAACUCAAAGGAAUUGACGGGGACCCGCACAAGCGGUGGAUGAAUGUGGAUUAAUUCGAUGCAACGCGAAAAACCUUACCUACCCUUGACAUGGUCGGAACCUGCUG